Molecule: ribosomal RNA, 253 nt
Filed under: uncultured bacterium
Lineage: Bacteria
Description: partial 16S ribosomal RNA
Rfam family: Bacterial small subunit ribosomal RNA
Source: RNAcentral
AACGGAGGGUGCGAGCGUUGUUCGGAAUUACUGGGCGUAAAGGGCGCGUAGGCGGUCUUGUAAGUCAGAUGUGAAAGCCCCGGGCUCAACCCGGGAAUAGCAUUUGAUACUGCGAGGCUUGAGUCCGGGAGAGGAUGGCGGAAUUCCCAGUGUAGAGGUGAAAUUCGUAGAUAUUGGGAAGAACACCGGUGGCGAAGGCGGCCAUCUGGACCGGUACUGACGCUGAGGCGCGAAAGCGUGGGGAGCAAACAGG